RNAcentral lists this ribosomal RNA (253 nucleotides) under uncultured bacterium. Its description in RNAcentral is "partial 16S ribosomal RNA". It matches the Rfam family "Bacterial small subunit ribosomal RNA", at positions 524 to 776 of the family's 1533-position model. The record is from RNAcentral.
CACGUAGGGUGCAAGCGUUAAUCGGAAUUACUGGGCGUAAAGCGUGCGCAGGCGGUUCGCUAAGACCGAUGUGAAAUCCCCGGGCUUAACCUGGGAACUGCAUUGGUGACUGGCGGGCUAGAGUAUGGCAGAGGGGGGUAGAAUUCCACGUGUAGCAGUGAAAUGCGUAGAGAUGUGGAGGAAUACCGAUGGCGAAGGCAGCCCCCUGGGCCAAUACUGACGCUCAUGCACGAAAGCGUGGGGAGCAAACAGG